GCCUUCGUGGUGUAGUGGUCAGCACACUCGUCGCGUAACCGAGAGGUCCGGGGUUCAACUCCCGGCGAAGGCG
This 73-nucleotide transfer RNA is filed under the name Stegodyphus mimosarum. Its description in RNAcentral is "tRNA-Thr for anticodon CGU". It matches the Rfam family "tRNA". From Rfam's summary of the family: Transfer RNA (tRNA) molecules are approximately 80 nucleotides in length. Lineage: Eukaryota; Metazoa; Arthropoda; Arachnida; Araneae; Eresidae. The record is from Rfam by way of RNAcentral.